UUGCCUCAGUAGCGGCGAGUGAAGCGGCAAAAGCUCAAAUUUGAAAUCUGGCGUCUUUGGCGUCCGAGUUGUAAUUUGAAGAAGGUAUCUUUGGGCCCGGCUCUUGUCUAUGUUCCUUGGAACAGGACGUCACAGAGGGUGAGAAUCCCGUGCGAUGAGAUGACCCGGGUCUGUGUAAAGUUCCUUCGACGAGUCGAGUUGUUUGGGAAUGCAGCUCUAAGUGGGUGGUAAAUUCCAUCUAAAGCUAAAUAUUGGCGAGAGACCGAUAGCGAACAAGUACAGUGAUGGAAAGAUGAAAAGAACUUUGAAAAGAGAGUGAAAAAGUACGUGAAAUUGUUGAAAGGGAAGGGCUUGAGAUCAGACUUGGUAUUUUGCAUGCUGCUCUCUCGGGGGCGGCCGCUGCGGUUUACCGGGCCAGCAUCGGUUUGGAGCGGCAGGAUAAUGGCGGAGGAAUGUGGCACGGCUUCUGCUGUGUGUUAUAGCCUCUGACGAUGCUGCCAGCCUAGACCGAGGACUGCGGUUUUUAACCUAGGAUGUUGGCAUAAUGAUCUUAAGUCGCCCGUCUUGAAACACGGACCAAGGAGUCUAACGUCUAUGCGAGUGUUUGGGUGUAAAACCCGUACGCGUAAUGAAAGUGAACGAAGGUGGGGGCCCAUUAGGGUGCACCAUCGACCGAUCCUGAUGUGUUCGGAUGGAUUUGAGUAAGAGCAUAGCUGUUGGGACCCGAAAGAUGGUGAACUAUGCCUGAAUAGGGUGAAGCCA
This 762-nucleotide ribosomal RNA is filed under the name Candida albicans. RNAcentral's name for it is "LSU rRNA". It matches the Rfam family "Eukaryotic large subunit ribosomal RNA", at positions 75 to 854 of the family's 3401-position model. Lineage: Eukaryota; Fungi; Ascomycota; Pichiomycetes; Serinales; Debaryomycetaceae. The record is from RNAcentral.